UACGAAGGGGGCUAGCGUUGUUCGGAAUCACUGGGCGUAAAGGGCGCGUAGGCGGCGCGACAAGUCAGGCGUGAAAGCCCCGGGCUCAACCCGGGAAUUGCGCUUGAUACUGUCGUGCUUGAGGCCGGGAGAGGAUGGCGGAAUUCCCAGUGUAGAGGUGAAAUUCGUAGAUAUCAGGAGGAACACCGGUGGCGAAGGUGGAUCUCUGGGCCUGUCCUGACGCUGAGGCGCGAAAGCUAGGGGAGCGAACAGG
This 253-nucleotide ribosomal RNA is filed under the name uncultured bacterium. Its description in RNAcentral is "partial 16S ribosomal RNA". It matches the Rfam family "Bacterial small subunit ribosomal RNA", at positions 524 to 776 of the family's 1533-position model. The record is from RNAcentral.